This 440-nucleotide ribosomal RNA is filed under the name uncultured bacterium. Its description in RNAcentral is "partial 16S ribosomal RNA". It matches the Rfam family "Bacterial small subunit ribosomal RNA", at positions 338 to 795 of the family's 1533-position model. The record is from RNAcentral.
CCUACGGGAGGCUGCAGUGGGGGAUAUUGCACAAUGGGGGGAACCCUGAUGCAGCGACGCCGCGUGGGUGAAGAAGCGCCUCGGCGCGUAAAGCCCUGUCAGCAGGGAAGAAAGUGACGGUACCUGAUGAAGAAGCCCCGGCUAAGUACGUGCCAGCAGCCGCGGUAAUACGGAGGGGGCAAGCGUUAUCCGGAUUUACUGGGGGUAAAGGGGGCGCAGACGGCGAUGCAAGCCAGGAGUGAAAGCCCGGGGCCCAACCCCGGGACUGCUCUUGGAACUGCGUGGCUUGAGUGCAGGAGGGGCAGGCGGAAUUCCUGGUGUAGCGGUGAAAUGCGUAGAUAUCAGGAGGAACACCGGUGGCGAAGGCGGCCUGCUGGACUGCAACUGACGUUGAGGCCCGAAAGCGUGGGGAGCAAACAGGAUUAGAUACCCCUGUAGUC